RNAcentral lists this ribosomal RNA (445 nucleotides) under uncultured bacterium. RNAcentral describes it as "partial 16S ribosomal RNA". It matches the Rfam family "Bacterial small subunit ribosomal RNA", at positions 354 to 796 of the family's 1533-position model. The record is from RNAcentral.
GUAAGGAAUAUUGGACAAUAGACGCAAGUCUGAUCCAGCCAUGCCGCGUGAAGGAUUAAGGUCCUCUGGAUUGUAAACUUCUUUUAUAAGGGACGAAAAAAGGCUUUUCUAAGUCGUCUGACGGUACCUUAUGAAUAAGCACCGGCUAACUCCGUGCCAGCAGCCGCGGUAAUACGGAGGGUGCAAGCGUUAUCCGGAUUCACUGGGUUUAAAGGGUGCGUAGGCGGGCAGGUAAGUCAGUGGUGAAAUCCUAGAGCUUAACUCUAGAACUGCCAUUGAUACUAUCUGUCUUGAAUAUUGUGGAGGUAAGCGGAAUAUGUCAUGUAGCGGUGAAAUGCUUAGAUAUGACAUAGAACACCUAUUGCGAAGGCAGCUUACUACGCAUAUAUUGACGCUGAGGCACGAAAGCGUGGGGAUCAAACAGGAUUAGAUACCCCUGUAGUCC